UUUCUAUGAUGAAUCAAACUAGCUCACUAUGAUUAAUACAAUGAAGUUGUCACUUUGGCAGAUGACCGGGGGCCCUUUGGUGCCAAGACACUUUUAGUCCUGAGCUGAGAAAC
This 113-nucleotide small nucleolar RNA is filed under the name Erinaceus europaeus (western European hedgehog). The record is from RNAcentral. Lineage: Eukaryota; Metazoa; Chordata; Mammalia; Eulipotyphla; Erinaceidae.